Molecule: ribosomal RNA, 441 nt
Filed under: uncultured bacterium
Lineage: Bacteria
Description: partial 16S ribosomal RNA
Rfam family: Bacterial small subunit ribosomal RNA
Source: RNAcentral
CCUACGGGAGGCAGCAGUGGGGAAUAUUGCACAAUGGGGGAAACCCUGAUGCAGCGACGCCGCGUGAGUGAAGAAGUAAUUCGUUAUGUAAAGCUCUAUCAGCAGGGAAGAAAAUGACGGUACCUGAGUAAGAAGCCCCGGCUAACUACGUGCCAGCAGCCGCGGUAAUACGUAGGGGGCAAGCGUUAUCCGGAUUUACUGGGUGUAAAGGGAGCGUAGACGGCAGUGCAAGUCUGGAGUGAAAGGCGGGGGCUCAACCCCCGGACUGCUCUGGAAACUGUACGGCUGGAGUGCAGGAGAGGUAAGUGGAAUUCCUAGUGUAGCGGUAAAAUGCGUAGAUAUAUGGAAGAACAUCAGUGGCGAAGGCGGCCGCCUGGCCUGUUAACUGACGCUGAGGCACGAAAGCGUGGGGAGCAAAUAGGAUUAGAUACCCUUGUAGUC